GACGAACGCUGGCGGCGUGCUUAACACAUGCAAGUCGAACGGAAAGGCCCUGCUUUUGUGGGGUGCUCGAGUGGCGAACGGGUGAGUAACACGUGAGUAACCUGCCCUUGACUUUGGGAUAACUUCAGGAAACUGGGGCUAAUACCGGAUAGGAGCUCCUGCUGCAUGGUGGGGGUUGGAAAGUUUCGGCGGUUGGGGAUGGACUCGCGGCUUAUCAGCUUGUUGGUGGGGUAGUGGCUUACCAAGGCUUUGACGGGUAGCCGGCCUGAGAGGGUGACCGGCCACAUUGGGACUGCGAUACGGCCCAGACUCCUACGGGAGGCAGCAGUGGGGAAUAUUUCACAAUGGGCGGAAGCCUGAUGCAGCAACGCCGCGUGCGGGAUGACGGCCUUCUGGUUGUAAACCGCUUUCGCCUGUGACGAAGCGUGAGUGACGGUAAUGGGUAAAGAAGCACCGGCUAACUACGUG
This 468-nucleotide ribosomal RNA is filed under the name uncultured bacterium. RNAcentral's name for it is "partial 16S ribosomal RNA". It matches the Rfam family "Bacterial small subunit ribosomal RNA", at positions 28 to 507 of the family's 1533-position model. The record is from RNAcentral.